UACGUAGGGACCGAGCGUUGUCCGGAUUCAUUGGGCGUAAAGAGCUCGUAGGCGGCCACUCAAGUCGAAUGUGAAACCUCGAGGCUCAACCUCGAGCCUGCAUUCGAUACUGGGCGGCUAGAGUCUGGUAGGGGGAUCUGGAAUUCCUGGUGUAGCGGUGGAAUGCGCAGAUAUCAGGAGGAACACCAGAGGCGAAGGCGGGUUACUGGGCUGAUACUGACGCUGAUGCGCGAAAGCUAGGGGAGCAAACGGG
This 253-nucleotide ribosomal RNA is filed under the name uncultured bacterium. Its description in RNAcentral is "partial 16S ribosomal RNA". It matches the Rfam family "Bacterial small subunit ribosomal RNA", at positions 524 to 776 of the family's 1533-position model. The record is from RNAcentral.